AGUGAACGCUGGCGGUAGGCCUAACACAUGCAAGUCGAACGGCAGCACAGUAAGAGCUUGCUCUUACGGGUGGCGAGUGGCGGACGGGUGAGGAAUACAUCGGAAUCUACUUUUUCGUGGGGGAUAACGUAGGGAAACUUACGCUAAUACCGCAUACGACCUACGGGUGAAAGCAGGGGAUCUUCGGACCUUGCGCGAUUGAAUGAGCCGAUGUCGGAUUAGCUAGUUGGCGGGGUAAAGGCCCACCAAGGCGACGAUCCGUAGCUGGUCUGAGAGGAUGAUCAGCCAAAUUGGAACUGAGAAACGGCCCAGACCCCUAGGGGAGGAAGAAGUGGGGAAUAUUGGACAAGGGGCGAAAGCCUGAUCCAGCCAUACCGGGGGGGGGAAGAAGGCCUUCGGGUGGUAAAGCCUUUUUGUAGGGAAAGAAAAGCAGCAGCUUAAUACCCCGCUGUUCGGACGGUACCCAAAGAAUAAGCACCGGCUAACUUCGU
This 491-nucleotide ribosomal RNA is filed under the name uncultured bacterium. RNAcentral's name for it is "partial 16S ribosomal RNA". It matches the Rfam family "Bacterial small subunit ribosomal RNA", at positions 29 to 506 of the family's 1533-position model. The record is from RNAcentral.